RNAcentral lists this non-coding RNA (22 nucleotides) under Arabidopsis thaliana (thale cress). Lineage: Eukaryota; Viridiplantae; Streptophyta; Magnoliopsida; Brassicales; Brassicaceae. The record is from RNAcentral.
UGAAGCCAUGAUGAGGGCAUUG